AAGCUCUGGUUUCUCUUCAAAACGAAUACAUCUUUUGCCUUUUACUGCAGAUUUUCGUGGAGAGGAACAGUUGUUAGUAACC
Pan paniscus (pygmy chimpanzee) is the source of this 82-nucleotide small nuclear RNA. Its record names the gene U5. It matches the Rfam family "U5 spliceosomal RNA". Rfam says of the family: U5 RNA is a component of both types of known spliceosome. The precise function of this molecule is unknown, though it is known that the 5' loop is required for splice site selection and p220 binding, and that both the 3' stem-loop and the Sm site are important for Sm protein binding and cap methylation. Lineage: Eukaryota; Metazoa; Chordata; Mammalia; Primates; Hominidae. The record is from Ensembl.